RNAcentral lists this unclassified non-coding RNA (221 nucleotides) under plant metagenome. RNAcentral's name for it is "partial contains small subunit ribosomal RNA, internal transcribed spacer 1, and 5.8S ribosomal RNA". The record is from RNAcentral.
UCUCCGUAGGUGAACCAGCGGAGGGAUCAUUACAGAGUUGGUGACCUCGCGGGUAGAUCUCGCACCCAGUGCUAUAGAUACCUUUGUUGCUUUCGCGGGCCGCCCCCGGCUACCGACCCCGGCUGGUACGCGCCCCCCAGCGCACGCCUAAACCAAAACGUCCGUGCUGUCUGAGUUACUUUAAAUAGUCAAAACUUUCAACAACGGAUCUCUUGGUUCUG